RNAcentral lists this ribosomal RNA (762 nucleotides) under Pelthydrus sp. SLE0032. Its description in RNAcentral is "SSU rRNA". It matches the Rfam family "Eukaryotic small subunit ribosomal RNA", at positions 411 to 1127 of the family's 1831-position model. Lineage: Eukaryota; Metazoa; Arthropoda; Insecta; Coleoptera; Hydrophilidae. The record is from RNAcentral.
CACAUCCAAGGAAGGCAGCAGGCGCGCAAAUUACCCACUCCCGGCACGGGGAGGUAGUGACGAAAAAUAACGAUACGGGACUCAUCCGAGGCCCCGUAAUCGGAAUGAGUACACUCUAAACCCUUUAACGAGGAUCAAUUGGAGGGCAAGUCUGGUGCCAGCAGCCGCGGUAAUUCCAGCUCCAAUAGCGUAUAUUAAAGUUGUUGCGGUUAAAAAGCUCGUAGUCGAAUCUGUGUCCCGCGUCGCCGGUUCAUCGCUCGCGGUGUUCAACUGGCGUGUCGCGGGACGUCCUGCCGGUGGGCUAAGCUCGUCCGCGGGCGGCGCCCAACUUGAAAUCCCACCGCGGUGCUCUUGACUGAGUGUCGAGGUGGGCCGGCACGUUUACUUUGAACAAAUUAGAGUGCUUAAAGCAGGCUAAAAUUUCGCCUGAAUACUGUGUGCAUGGAAUAAUGGAAUAGGACCUCGGUUCUAUUUUGUUGGUUUUCGGAACCCCGAGGUAAUGAUUAAUAGGAACGGAUGGGGGCAUUCGUAUUGCGACGUUAGAGGUGAAAUUCUUGGAUCGUCGCAAGACGGACAGAAGCGAAAGCAUUUGCCAAAAACGCUUUCAUUGAUCAAGAACGAAAGUUAGAGGUUCGAAGGCGAUCAGAUACCGCCCUAGUUCUAACCAUAAACGAUGCCAGCUAGCGAUCCGCCGACGUUCCUCCGAUGACUCGGCGGGCAGCUUCCGGGAAACCAAAGCUUUUGGGUUCCGGGGGAAGUAUG